This 520-nucleotide ribosomal RNA is filed under the name uncultured Glomus. RNAcentral's name for it is "SSU rRNA". It matches the Rfam family "Eukaryotic small subunit ribosomal RNA", at positions 569 to 1092 of the family's 1831-position model. Lineage: Eukaryota; Fungi; Glomeromycota; Glomeromycetes; Glomerales; Glomeraceae. The record is from RNAcentral.
AGCAGCCGCGGUAAUUCCAGCUCCAAUAGCGUAUAUUAAAGUUGUUGCAGUUAAAAAGCUCGUAGUUGAAUUUCGGGGUUAGUACGCUGGUCAUACCUCUGGUAUGUACUGGUGUUACUGAUACCUACCUUCUGACGAAUCGUCAUGUCAUUAAUUUGGUGUGGCGGGGAAUCAGGACUGUUACUUUGAAAAAAUUAGAGUGUUUAAAGCAGGCUCGCGCUUGAAUACAUUAACAUGGAAUAAUGAAAUAGGACGUUUGAUCCUAUUUUGUUGGUUUCUAGGAUUGACGUAAUGAUUAAUAGGGAUAGUUGGGGGCAUUAGUAUUCAAUCGUCAGAGGUGAAAUUCUUGGAUUUAUUGAAGACUAACUACUGCGAAAGCAUUUGCCAAGGAUGUUUUCAUUAAUCAAGAACGAAAGUUAGGGGAUCGAAGGCGAUCAGAUACCGUCGUAGUCUUAACCAUAAACUAUGCCGACUAGGGAUCGGAUGAUGUUAUUUUUAAUGACUCAUUCGGCGCCUUACG